This 67-nucleotide transfer RNA is filed under the name Marchesinia robusta. Its description in RNAcentral is "partial tRNA-Leu". The record is from RNAcentral. Lineage: Eukaryota; Viridiplantae; Streptophyta; Jungermanniopsida; Porellales; Lejeuneaceae.
GUAGACGCUACGGACUAAAAUCCGUUGGCUUUAAUAGACCUUGAGGGUUCAAGUCCCUCUACCCCCA